CAGUAAGUAUCUACCUUCAUCAUCAUCUGCUAGAUGUAACUACUACUUGUCUAUAAAAAAGACCUAUCUCCCUCUUCUGAAUUCACAUUACAAUUUUUACGCUUCAUCAUCAUCAUCACAAAGAAGACCUAUUAUCUCAGGCACUUUUGUAAUAUUUAUCUGUCAAUUUUCAUCACUUAUUGUUCACCUUUGCUUCCAGUUCAAGAUUUUCGAUCAAGGAUUGAAGCAAUUUCUUGUAUAUUCAUUCAAGAUUUUACCCGGCCAGGCCAGUUUUCGGUUCCUGAACCAAAAUCAUUUCUUCUUGAAAGUCUAUCAUUCAAGAUUUUAUUACUAGAUCUGGAACAAAUCUUCUCAAAAAUCCACUAUCACCAAAGCUGGGGACAGGAAAAUAAGGAACACCAAGUUCAGAUGUUCUCGGAUUAAUUGGAGUAGUUUUGUUAGAAAUUGUCUUGAUAAUUAUUGGUAUGAGCGGAGUCGGAAAACGCAGAGCUUUCUUGUUGGCAUAUCGGUUACACACAUAACUUAACUGGCAACCAAUUCUAUGAAGCCUAAUAACGAAAAAAGAAGAGAAUUCAUCUAUGUUAUUAAUCCUCAUGUAAUAUCUGUAUGAGCGGACUCAGAAAAUUAAGCUAAUGGUUACUCUUUCUGAGUCAAAAUAUGUAUACAUUUUACAGUUUUACUUUUCUCACAUUUUACUGGCACAAUUUGUAAACUAGAUUGGCCAAAAAAAAGAAGUACUGGCUUGGACGUGAUAACCAACUACACCACGAAACCUUUGUUGUUAAUGAUGUCCAAUUUUAAAACCCAUUCUUUUUAUGCUUUC
This is a long non-coding RNA of Papaver somniferum (opium poppy), 823 nucleotides long. RefSeq lists it as uncharacterized. The transcript has 2 exons. The record is from RefSeq and is a predicted model, not a curated record. Lineage: Eukaryota; Viridiplantae; Streptophyta; Magnoliopsida; Ranunculales; Papaveraceae.